Molecule: ribosomal RNA, 452 nt
Filed under: beta proteobacterium Z24
Lineage: Bacteria; Pseudomonadati; Pseudomonadota; Betaproteobacteria
Description: bacterial SSU rRNA
Rfam family: Bacterial small subunit ribosomal RNA
Source: RNAcentral
CAAUGCCGCGUGCAGGAUGAAGGCCUUAGGGUUGUAAACNNCUUUUGUCGGAACGAAAACGGUCUCUCUUAAUACGGGGGGCUAAUGACGGUACCGUAAGAAUAAGCACCGGCUAACUACGUGCCAGCAGCCGCGGUAAUACGUAGGGUGCGAGCGUUAAUCGGAAUUACUGGGCGUAAAGCGUGCGCAGGCGGUUAUAUAAGACAGAUGUGAAAUCCCCGGGCUCAACCUGGGACCUGCAUUUGUGACUGUAUAGCUAGAGUCCGGUAGAGGGGGAUGGAAUUCCGCGUGUACAGUGAAAUGCGUAGAUAUGCGGAGGAACACCGAUGGCGAAGGCAAUCCCCUGGACCUGUACUGACGCUCAUGCACGAAAGCGUGGGGAGCAAACAGGAUUAGAUACCCUGGUAGUCCACGCCCUAAACGAUGUCAACUGGUUGUUGGGUCUUCACUGA